AACCAGAAGGCGCAAUGAAAGUGAAGGCACGGUCGCCGUGCCGAGGUGAGAGCUGUCGACGGCAGCGCAUCAUCGACCGAUCCCAUCCGCUCCCCCGUGGUGCGGCGGGAUUCGAGUAAGAGUGUACCUGUUGCGACCCGAAAGAUGGUGAACUAUGCCUGAAUAGGGUGAAGCCAGAGGAAACUCUGGUGGAGGCCCGUAGCGAUUCUGACGUGCAAAUCGAUCGUCAAAUUUGGGUAUAGGGGCGAAAGACUAAUCGAACCAUCUAGUAGCUGGUUCCCUCCGAAGUUUCCCUCAGGAUAGCUGUAGCCCGAAGCAGUUUUAUCAGGUAAAGCGAAUGAUUAGAGGUAUCGGGGAAGAAACUUCCUCGACCUAUUCUCAAACUUUAAAUAGGUAAGAAGUCCGACUUGCUCAAUUUGAAGCCGGACACAGAAUGCUGGGUUACUAGUGGGCCAUUUUUGGUAAGCAGAACUGGCGAUGCGGGAUGAACCGAACGCUGAGUUAAGGUGCCAAAGUCGACGCUCAUCAGAUCCCACAAA
RNAcentral lists this ribosomal RNA (539 nucleotides) under cf. Thorectandra choanoides G310943. Its description in RNAcentral is "eukaryotic LSU rRNA". It matches the Rfam family "Eukaryotic large subunit ribosomal RNA", at positions 705 to 1218 of the family's 3401-position model. The record is from RNAcentral. Lineage: Eukaryota; Metazoa; Porifera; Demospongiae; Dictyoceratida; Thorectidae.